UAGGGGGUGGGUGCUAUACAUGCAGUAGGACGCACAGUUUAUACCGUAGCUUGCUACACCAUAGACUGUGAGUUGCGAACGGGUGAGUAACGCGUAGGUAACCUACCUAUUAGAGGGGGAUAACUAUUGGAAACGAUAGCUAAUACCGCAUAACAGUAUGUAACACAUGUUAGAUGCUUGAAAGAUGCAAUUGCAUCGCUAGUAGAUGGACCUGCGUUGUAUUAGCUAGUAGGUAGGGUAAUGGCCUACCUAGGCAACGAUACAUAGCCGACCUGAGAGGGUGAUCGGCCACACUGGGACUGAGACACGGCCCAGACUCCUACGGGAGGCAGCAGUAGGGAAUCUUCGGCAAUGGGGGGAACCCUGACCGAGCAACGCCGCGUGAGUGAAGAAGGUUUUCGGAUCGUAAAGCUCUGUUGUUAAGGAAGAACGAGUGUGAGAAUGGAAAGUUCAUGCUGUGACGGUACUUAACCAGAAAGGGACGGCUAACUACGUGCCAGCAGCCGCGGUAAUACGUAGGUCCCGAGCGUUGUCCGGAUUUAUUGGGCGUAAAGCGAGCGCAGGCGGUUAGAAAAGUCUGAAGUGAAAGGCAGUGGCUCAACCAUUGUAGGCUUUGGAAACUGUUUAACUUGAGUGCAGAAGGGGAGAGUGGAAUUCCAUGUGUAGCGGUGAAAUGCGUAGAUAUAUGGAGGAACACCGGUGGCGAAAGCGGCUCUCUGGUCUGUAACUGACGCUGAGGCUCGAAAGCGUGGGGAGCGAACAGGAUUAGAUACCCUGGUAGUCCACGCCGUAAACGAUGAGUGCUAGGUGUUAGGUCCUUUCCGGGACUUAGUGCCGCAGCUAACGCAUUAAGCACUCCGCCUGGGGAGUACGACCGCAAGGUUGAAACUCAAAGGAAUUGACGGGGGCCCGCACAAGCGGUGGAGCAUGUGGUUUAAUUCGAAGCAACGCGAAGAACCUUACCAGGUCUUGACAUCCCAGUGACUGCCCUAGAGAUAGGGUUUCCCUUCGGGGCACUGGUGACAGGUGUGCAUGCUGUCGUCAGCUCGUGUCGUGAGAUGUUGGGUUAGUCCCGCACGAGCGCACCCUUAUUGUUAGUUGCAUCAUUGAGUUGGCACUUCUAGCGAGACUGCCGGUAUAACCGGAGGAAGGUGGGGAUGAACGUCGAUCAUCAUGCGCUUAUGACCUUGGCUUACACUGCUCAAUGCUGGUUCAACAAGUGUCAAGCCGGUGACGGCAACCAAAAUACUCUGA
Molecule: ribosomal RNA, 1254 nt
Filed under: Streptococcus anginosus
Lineage: Bacteria; Bacillati; Bacillota; Bacilli; Lactobacillales; Streptococcaceae
Description: bacterial SSU rRNA
Rfam family: Bacterial small subunit ribosomal RNA
Source: RNAcentral